RNAcentral lists this long non-coding RNA (3053 nucleotides) under Trifolium pratense (red clover). RNAcentral's name for it is "long non-coding RNA (TPRA_LNC002214)". The record is from RNAcentral. Lineage: Eukaryota; Viridiplantae; Streptophyta; Magnoliopsida; Fabales; Fabaceae.
GUCAGGGCCUCGUUCUAUCUGGGGAAGAAAGCCAUACGUCAGACUAACCCUUUUUCAUUCUGAUUAUGCUUAAAUUCUUUUAUUUGAUUUAUGAAAGUCAAAAGAGAAGAUGAAGCAGAUGAUGAAGUGUUUUAACGUUUUUUAGCGUCUGAGAAUGAGAAUGAUUCGAGUCACGAACCAUACGUCAGGGCCUGGAAUCAUCCAGGGAAGAAAGCCAUACGUCAGACUAACCCUUUUUCAUUCCAAUUAAGAUUUAAUUUGUUGCGUUUAAGCAAGAUAACCAAGAAACAAACCAAGCAGAUAUAAUAUACAACGAAUAUAUGCAUGGACGAAAGCUUUUGUCAACUGGUCAAUUUUGCUUCAUCAUGAUUGUUUAGAGAAAAGAAUAAGAAUGAGAAUAAUUCGAGUCACGAGCCAUACGUCAGGGCCUCAAAUUAUUCGGGGAAGAAAGCCAUACGUCAGACUAACCCUUUUUCAUUCCAUUUAUUUUAGUUACGGAGUUUUUCAAGUAAAUAAGUGCUUUUGAGAAACAAACUCACAAUGAAAGUAUUAAAUCAAGUAAGUAAUCCAAACGUUACAUAUGAACUUAUUAAAAUAAGCUUGAGAAAUUUUGAUUAAUUAAUCACCUAACUAACAAUCACUUAAUCAAGUGUUUAACCAUUUAAGCACUUAGUGAUUUGAGCACUUUUAUCAAACAACUUAAAUGGUUACUCACUUAAUCAAGUAUUUAAUUAAUCGACUAAUUAAUCAAUAACUCAAAUAAUCAUUUUCAAAUGAUAAGCGCUUAUUUAAAUAAGCACCUAUGUGGAUAAGCUCUUAUUUGAAUAAGCACUUAUAUGACUAAGCACUAGAAAAUAAAUAAACCGCCACUAGGGUGUAAACUGGGUUCUGGAGGUGACACAAUAGCAAUCUGCAACACCAAAGCCCAGCCCAGACUAAUUUUCGUCCAAACAAAAAAAUGAGUAGAACAAAAAAAAAAUCACAUACAUCAUUAGGAUACGGGUGUAUGGUAGGCUUCCCGGAUCUGGGCCUUUUGAUUUGAUCAAAUGGCUCAGAUUUAAAAAUCCACUAACAGAUCUCGGCCUCACAGCAGAUCUAACGAUCGUGUCUUAAAAUUGGUGAGAACCAAUGAUCCGCUGACACGUCAUCGUCUUGUGGGUUUCACUACUGAGAUGUAUUAGAAGAGUUUUGUGAAAUAAAAUUGAAGUUUGAAUGAUGUUUUGUGUGAUUUCUAAAAAUGGAAAAAAUGGUGAAAAAGAUGAGAUUUUUUGUGGUUCUAGCUCUUCCGAAAAUCCAACCUCUAUUCCUCUCUUCAUUGCUGCUUAUAUAGAGACAAUAGGAACAUUCUAGGCUGAAGGAAUUAGGUUAAAAAGGGUGAAAAAAGAAUUUUCUCAUGAAUGACAUUUUUGGGAAUUUUUGGUGUUAUAGUGGUGAUUUUAUUUGUUCCAAUCAUGAUCCUUGUCCAAUGAUUAGAGGGGAUCACGAAAUUUUGAUGAGUUGGCUUUCUUCUAGAGUAUUCUAGAUGAAAAUGAAGAUAUGCAAUGGAAUUGUUUUGGUAUAUUCCAUUUUUUUUGUGUUUUUGGUACAUUUUUUAGUCACUCGUUCCUAUUUUUUGGGAGUGUCGACUUUGAUCAAAUUGGUAUUUUGGUGAGUGAACCUUAUCUGGGGUAUAAGUGGAAUUUUGAUGGUGAAAUGUGGUUUCUUGAAGGUGAAGUAACAAAAAUGAAUAUAAAAAUAAUAUUUUUAAAUUUUUGAAAUAAUAAUAAAAUAUGAUAAAAAUGGGGUAGGACAAAAUUAGGGUAUCACAGUGGGUUAAAAUGCAUACUCAGAUUAUAGUGUAGAUAGCACACAGUUUAUUUUUUUGUUCCAGAUUUUACUAUUUUACACAUUCGCUACAUAACCUGAGAGGUGGGUCGGAAGAGAGGGUAAAAUUAAUAGCUUAGAGGACUCUUGAGAAGAUCUGGAAAUGAAGUUUUUUCCCUCUUUAUAAAGCUCAGCCCAAAUAUCUUUGUCCAACAAAUUGACACAUGUAAGUACCGGUUCAGAUCAAGUUGCAUGUUUCUGCCGAAAAUAUCACGCUUUAGCAAUUAGAUUCUAUGUAUGUGUAGCUGUGUGUAGGUGCUGGAUUAAUACCAAUUAGAUUAUGAUGCAGCUGGUUAGUGUCGUAAACUUGAAGCUAAUAAAGCAUAAAUGCCAUUCACCACUUUGAUUAUUAAAACAACUCAGAAACAAUUAAUUAUUAUAGAUAAGAGUAGAAUAAUAAUUGUUCGCUGCUCUAAUCACUACAUAUAUGGAUUACUUCUCAUGAUUUAUUCUAUUGGGUAAUGCUAAACGAUGCCCCGGGACACUAGUUAAGCAUACUAAAAAAAGGAAACAAGUGAUAAAGUUAAUAAUGAGAGAGAAUAAGUUUUUACAUCAUGAAAAUUUUGAAUUCACAAUUUACGAAAUAAAAUUUUUAUAUUUAUAUCCUUAACCAUUGCCUCGGGGGCACUGUUUAGCAUUUUCAUAUUCUAUGAGUUAUUCUAUUUUAUAUUCACUAAUAAUAUGGUACAACUUUACUUUUCUCUCUUCCCUUAUCAUGAGAAUUCCGUGUUUCAUAACAUUAUAUGAUAGCAUAUUUGAUAUGCACCUUGUAAAAAAAAAUGUAAAGAUGAAGUAGGAAUUAAGGAUUUGAGGAAGUGAGAGAUUUAAUAUGAACUUCUUAGAACGAAUUGUUCAGGAAAACUUGAAAUCGGUUCUAGAUGACAACAAUUUUUUACUAGGUUUUAUUUAUCGCGACGGAUUAUCAGGCCUUUUUCAUGUGAACCAGAGAAUUAAUAUAAGAAAAAAAAAACUAAUUUGAAAAAACUCACCUAAUUAUGUGGUUGCUUUCAAUGAGACUGAAUUACCUGCUGCUGCUGAGUUCGUAUGCAUAUAGGAGGAUAAUUAGUAGCUUGAUGAUCGAGUCUAGUAUAAACAAUUUAUUGAAGAGAUUAUUCCUUUAAAACUAUAGUUUGGACAAGUGACAAUAGUACACCUCAUGUUAUAAGCCAUAUAUAGCCAGCAGGCAGCAG